AGAGUUUGAUCAUGGCUCAGAGUGAACGUUGGCGGCGUGCCUAACACAUGCAAGUCGAACGCGUCUUGGGGGCAACUCCAAGAUGAGUGGCGAACGGGUGAGUAACACGUGGGUAAUCUCCCCCCGAGUGAGGAAUAAGCCCGCGAAAGCGGGUCUAAUACCGCAUAACACCCCGGGGCAUAAGCUUCCGGGGUCAAAGCCGUAAGGCGCUUGGAGAUGAGCCUGCGUCCUAUUAGCUAGUUGGUAGGGUAACGGCCUACCAAGGUUAUGAUGGGUAGCCGGCCUGAGAGGGUGUUCGGCCACACUGGGACUGAGACACGGCCCAGACUCCUACGGGAGGCAGCAGUGAGGAAUCUUGCGCAAUGGGCGAAAGCCUGACGCAGCGACGCCGCGUGGAGGAAGACGGCCUUCGGGUUGUAAACUCCUGUCAGAGGUGAAGAAUCCCCGCAAGGGGUUGACGGUAACCUCAAAGGAAGCCCCGGCUAACUACGUGCCAGCAGCCGCGGUAAUACGUAGGGGGCAAACGUUACUCGGAAUUACUGGGCGUAAAGGGUGUGUAGGUGGUUGAGUAAGUCAUGGAUGAAAUUCCGGAGCUCAACUUCGGAAUUGUCUUUGAGACUGCUCGGCUUGAGGAUAGUGGAGGAGAAUGGAAUUCCCGGUGGAGCGGUGAAAUGCGUAGAUAUCGGGAGGAACACCCGAGGCGUAAGCGAUUCUCUAAGCUAUUCCUGACGCUGAAACACGAAAGCUAGGGGAGCGAACGGGAUUAGAUACCC
Molecule: ribosomal RNA, 773 nt
Filed under: uncultured bacterium
Lineage: Bacteria
Description: bacterial SSU rRNA
Rfam family: Bacterial small subunit ribosomal RNA
Source: RNAcentral